UCCUGGCUCAGGAUGAACGCUGGCGGCGUGCUUAACACAUGCAAGUCGAACGAAGCACUUUGAUCGAUUUCUUCGGAUUGAAAUUUUAGUGACUGAGUGGCGGACGGGUGAGUAACGCGUGGGUAACCUGCCUCACACAGGGGGAUAACAGUUGGAAACGGCUGCUAAUACCGCAUAAGCGCACAGUACCGCAUGGUACAGUGUGAAAAACUCCGGUGGUGUGAGAUGGACCCGCGUCUGAUUAGCUAGUUGGCAGGGUAACGGCCUACCAAGGCGACGAUCAGUAGCCGACCUGAGAGGGUGACCGGCCACAUUGGGACUGAGACACGGCCCAAACUCCUACGGGAGGCAGCAGUGGGGAAUAUUGCACAAUGGGGGAAACCCUGAUGCAGCGACGCCGCGUGAGCGAAGAAGUAUUUCGGUAUGUAAAGCUCUAUCAGCAGGGAAGAAGAAAUGACGGUACCUGACUAAGAAGCACCGGCUAAAUACGUG
This 492-nucleotide ribosomal RNA is filed under the name uncultured bacterium. Its description in RNAcentral is "bacterial SSU rRNA". It matches the Rfam family "Bacterial small subunit ribosomal RNA", at positions 17 to 507 of the family's 1533-position model. The record is from RNAcentral.